This 564-nucleotide ribosomal RNA is filed under the name uncultured beta proteobacterium. RNAcentral's name for it is "bacterial SSU rRNA". It matches the Rfam family "Bacterial small subunit ribosomal RNA", at positions 335 to 915 of the family's 1533-position model. The record is from RNAcentral. Lineage: Bacteria; Pseudomonadati; Pseudomonadota; Betaproteobacteria.
ACUCCUACGGGAGGCAGCAGUGGGGAAUAUUGGACAAUGGGGGCAACCCUGAUCCAGCAAUGCCGCGUGAGUGAUGAAGGCCUUAGGGUUGUAAAGCUCUUUUGGCGGGGACGAUGAUGACGGUACCCGCAGAAUAAGCACCGGCUAACUCUGUGCCAGCAGCCGCGGUAAUACAGAGGGUGCAAGCGUUAAUCGGAAUUACUGGGCGUAAAGCGUGCGUAGACGGUAGCGUAAGUCGGGUGUGAAAGCCCCGGGCUCAACCUGGGAAUUGCGCUCGAAACUACUUGGCUGGAGUGUGGCAGAGGAAGGUGGAAUUCCACGUGUAGCAGUGAAAUGCGUAGAGAUGUGGAGGAACACCGAUGGCGAAGGCAGCCCCCUGGGCCAAUACUGACGCUCAUGCACGAAAGCGUGGGGAGCAAACAGGAUUAGAUACCCUGGUAGUCCUAGCCCUAAACGAUGAAUGCUUGGUGUGACAGGUACCCAAUCCUGUCGUGCCGGAGCUAACGCAUUAAGCAUUCCGCCUGGGGAGUACGGUCGCAAGGCUGAAACUUAAAGGAAUUGACG